UAAUGAAACAUUGGUUCCCGUACGAUCACCAAAGUUAAGCAACAUCGAGUCUGGUUAGUACCUAGACAGGUGACUGGUUGGGAAUACCACCUGCUGUAA
This is a non-coding RNA of Acanthosepion pharaonis, 99 nucleotides long. The record is from the annotation of a GenBank genome assembly. NCBI's taxonomy places the organism in Eukaryota, Metazoa, Mollusca, Cephalopoda, Sepiida, Sepiidae.